ACUGAAUUGAGAUAAAGCAGGAUACCUUAUUCCCUUUUUCACAUCUUUGUAGCUGAGACCAAAGAUGUUAAAACUGCUAAGAGGGAGACUACACCUGCAGAAACAAUUAUUGUACAUCAUAGAAUAGAUUUGCAGAGCAGAGCAGCUGGUGCCAAGGACCUGAUGACCACAGGAGAUCAUAUGGAGUGUUUUUACUUCAGCUCAGUCCUCAUCUGUCUCCAAAGCUCCAAAUGCCCAUCUGCAGACAGAAUGUCCUAGGUGAGCUUCCAAGCAUAUAUUCUUCCACUGUUUCACCUGCAGUGAAUCCAAUUCCAGAACCCUGAGACCACUCCAUUACAUGACUCCACCUAAGUGUGGAAAAGCAGAAGUCUUGGUUUAAAAAUGUACUUUCAAUGGAUGGUAAAAUGUAAAAGGCACCUACAUCUGCUAGGGAAUGUAGAUGUGUAAUGUUUACAUUUAAAAUUGCCUUCUCUUUUUGGUUGUUUUUUUUUUCUCUUUUUGUUUUUUUUCUGAAAAGGAAUUAUGUCUUUUAUAGAAGUAUAUGAAUGCUUUCCCACUGAUGCAGUAAAUCCAUGGGAGAGAAUACUGGCUUUUCAACAAUCCACCAAUAGUUUUUUGGGGCUAUUUGUUUAAAGUUGGUCCAAAAAGCUAUCACCAGUUAACAACAAACCUUUUAUUACAGAUGUAACUUCAAAGCUUUUCCAUGAAGCCAGUUGCUAUUAAAGUAUUUCCAGUAAAAGUACCUAUUCAUUAUUCAGUAAGUACAAUAUAAAAUAGUUCCAGCUACUGCACUGAAAAAGUCUUGGCCUCAGUAUUUCACAUUCAAAAGAAAUUUAUCACCUUGUUGUUCUUGCCAGAAAGACUAAUUAAUAUUAAAUCUUUUGAAUUUCUCUGGAUAAAACUGGCAUCUGAGAGCCUAGUAUGGUAUCAGAGUUCUUUAAAAUAAGUCAAUAAUAGAGAUUAGUACCUCUUGUGUAAUACUGUAUGCAUUGCAUUCUGUUACAUUUAUUAUACAAAUUGAAAUGAAUAAC
This 1031-nucleotide long non-coding RNA is filed under the name Cyanistes caeruleus (blue tit). Its description in RNAcentral is "lncRNA (ENSCCEG00000018523.1)". Lineage: Eukaryota; Metazoa; Chordata; Aves; Passeriformes; Paridae. The record is from RNAcentral.